This 497-nucleotide ribosomal RNA is filed under the name uncultured bacterium. Its description in RNAcentral is "partial 16S ribosomal RNA". It matches the Rfam family "Bacterial small subunit ribosomal RNA", at positions 28 to 507 of the family's 1533-position model. The record is from RNAcentral.
GAUGAACGCUGGCGGCGUGCCUAAUACAUGCAAGUCGAGCGAACAGAUAAGGAGCUUGCUCCUUUGACGUUAGCGGCGGACGGGUGAGUAACACGUGGAUAACCUACCUAUAAGACUGGGAUAACUUCGGGAAACCGGAGCUAAUACCGGAUAACAUAUUGAACCGCAUGGUUCAAUAGUGAAAGGCGGCUUUGCUGUCACUGAUAGAUGGAUCCGCGCCGUAUUAGCUAGUUGGUAAGGUAACGGCUUACCAAGGCAACGAUACGUAGCCGACCUGAGAGGGUGAUCGGCCACACUGGAACUGAGACACGGUCCAGACUCCUACGGGAGGCAGCAGUAGGGAAUCUUCCGCAAUGGGCGAAAGCCUGACGGAGCAACGCCGCGUGAGUGAUGAAGGUCUUCGGAUCGUAAAACUCUGUUAUCAGGGAAGAACAAAUGUGUAAGUAACUGUGCACAUCUUGACGGCACCUGAUCAGAAAGCCACGGCUAACUACGUG